Molecule: ribosomal RNA, 461 nt
Filed under: uncultured bacterium
Lineage: Bacteria
Description: partial 16S ribosomal RNA
Rfam family: Bacterial small subunit ribosomal RNA
Source: RNAcentral
CCUACGGGAGACAGCAGUGAGGAAUAUUGGUCAAUGGCCGGAAGGCUGAACCAGCCAUGUCGCGUGAGGGAGGACGGCCCUACGGGUUGUAAACCUCUUUUGCCGGGGAGCAACGGGCGUCACGUGUGGCGCCACUGAGAGUACCCGGAGAAAAAGCAUCGGCUAACUCCGUGCCAGCAGCCGCGGUAAUACGGAGGAUGCGAGCGUUAUCCGGAUUUAUUGGGUUUAAAGGGAGCGUAGGUGGAUUUUUAAGUCAGUUGUGAAAGUUUGCGGCUCAACCGUAAAAUUGCAGUUGAAACUGGCAGUCUUGAGUACAGUAGAGGUGGGCGGAAUUCGUGGUGUAGCGGUGAAAUGCUUAGAUAUCACGAAGAACUCCGAUUGCGAAGGCAGCUCACUGGACUGCAACUGACACUGAGGCUCGAAAGUGUGGGUAUCAAACAGGAGUAGAUACCCCAGUAGUC